This 200-nucleotide ribosomal RNA is filed under the name uncultured bacterium. RNAcentral's name for it is "partial 16S ribosomal RNA". It matches the Rfam family "Bacterial small subunit ribosomal RNA", at positions 30 to 230 of the family's 1533-position model. The record is from RNAcentral.
AUUGAACGCUGGCGGAAUGCUUUACACAUGCAAGUCGAACGGCAGCACGGGGGCAACCCUGGUGGCGAGUGGCGAACGGGUGAGUAAUACAUCGGAACGUGCCCAGUCGUGGGGGAUAACGUAGCGAAAGCUACGCUAAUACCGCAUACGAACUCUGGUUGAAAGCGGGGGAUCGCAAGACCUCGCGCGAUUGGAGCGGC